GUCAGCAGCCAUAUCACCCUGUAGCCCAAGCCUGGUUGUCCACUGAAGCCAAGCAGGGCUGAGCCUGGUCAGUACUGGGAUGGGAGACCUCCUGGGAAACUAUAGGUUGCUGCUGGAA
This 118-nucleotide ribosomal RNA is filed under the name Sinocyclocheilus grahami. Lineage: Eukaryota; Metazoa; Chordata; Actinopteri; Cypriniformes; Cyprinidae. The record is from RNAcentral.